GAUGAACGCUGGCGGCGUGCCUAAUACAUGCAAGUCGAGCGGCAGCACGGUCUUCGGACUGGUGGCGAGCGGCGGACGGCUGAGUAACGCGUAGGAACGUACCCCAAAGUGAGGUAUAACUGCUCGAAAGAGUAGCUAAUACUGCAUGUUGUCUAAGGAUUAAAGCUUCGGCGCUUUGGGAACGGCCUGCGUAAGAUUAGCUAGUUGGUGAGGUAAUGGCUCACCAAGGCGAUGAUCUUUAGCUGGUCUGAGAGGAUGAUCAGCCAGACUGGGACUGAGACACGGCCCAGACUCCUACGGGAGGCAGCAGUAGGGAAUUUUCCACAAUGGGCGAAAGCCUGAUGGAGCAACGCCGCGUGCAGGAUGAAUGCCUUCGGGUUGUAAACUGCUUUUAUAUGUGACGAUUAUGACGGUAGCAUAUGAAUAAGGAUCGGCUAACUCCGUGCCAGCCGCCGCGGUAA
Molecule: ribosomal RNA, 461 nt
Filed under: uncultured bacterium
Lineage: Bacteria
Description: partial 16S ribosomal RNA
Rfam family: Bacterial small subunit ribosomal RNA
Source: RNAcentral